ACGGGAGGCAGCAGUGGGGAAUAUUGCACAAUGGGGGAAACCCUGAUGCAGCGACGCCGCGUGAGUGAAGAAGUAUUUCGGUAUGUAAAGCUCUAUCAGCAGGGAAGAAAAUGACGGUACCUGACUAAGAAGCCCCGGCUAACUACGUGCCAGCAGCCGCGGUAAUACGUAGGGGGCAAGCGUUAUCCGGAUUUACUGGGUGUAAAGGGAGUGUAGACGGUGAAGCAAGUCAGAAGUGAAAGCUCGGGGCUCAACCCCGGAACUGCUUUUGAAACUGUUUUACUAGAGUGCAGGAGAGGUAAGCGGAAUUCCUAGUGUAGCGGUGAAAUGCGUAGAUAUUAGGAGGAACACCAGUGGCGAAGGCGGCUUACUGGACUGUAACUGACGUUGAGGCUCGAAAGCGUGGGGAGCAAACAGGAUUAGAUACCCUGGUA
RNAcentral lists this ribosomal RNA (434 nucleotides) under uncultured Lachnospiraceae bacterium. Its description in RNAcentral is "partial 16S ribosomal RNA". It matches the Rfam family "Bacterial small subunit ribosomal RNA", at positions 341 to 792 of the family's 1533-position model. The record is from RNAcentral. Lineage: Bacteria; Bacillati; Bacillota; Clostridia; Lachnospirales; Lachnospiraceae.